RNAcentral lists this ribosomal RNA (449 nucleotides) under uncultured bacterium. Its description in RNAcentral is "partial 16S ribosomal RNA". It matches the Rfam family "Bacterial small subunit ribosomal RNA", at positions 29 to 523 of the family's 1533-position model. The record is from RNAcentral.
AGCGAACGCUGGCGGCAGGCCUAACACAUGCAAGUCGAACGGAUCCUUCGGGAUUAGUGGCGGACGGGUGAGUAACACGUGGGAACGUGCCCUUUGGUUCGGAACAACUCAGGGAAACUUGAGCUAAUACCGGAUGUGCCCUUCGGGGGAAAGAUUUAUCGCCAUUGGAGCGGCCCGCGUCUGAUUAGCUAGUUGGUGAGGUAAAGGCUCACCAAGGCGACGAUCAGUAGCUGGUCUGAGAGGAUGAUCAGCCACAUUGGGGCUGAGACACGGCCCAAACUCCUACGGGAGGCAGCAGUGGGGAAUCUUGCGCAAUGGGCGAAAGCCUGACGCAGCCAUGCCACGUGAAUGGUGAAGGUCUUAGGAUUGUAAAAUUCUUUCACCGGGGACGAUAAUGACGGUACCCGGAGAAGAAGCCCCGGUUAACUUCGUGCCAGCCGCCGCGGUAA